UGAGGUGACGAUAGCGUCAUGGUCCCACCUGAUCCCAUUCCGAACUCAGAAGUGAAACGUGUCAGCGCCUAUGGUACUGCGGCUUAAGUCGUGGGAGAGUCGGUCAUUGCCUUGC
Molecule: ribosomal RNA, 115 nt
Filed under: Verrucomicrobiales bacterium
Lineage: Bacteria; Pseudomonadati; Verrucomicrobiota; Verrucomicrobiia; Verrucomicrobiales
Source: RNAcentral